Molecule: ribosomal RNA, 224 nt
Filed under: Hormodochis aggregata
Lineage: Eukaryota; Fungi; Ascomycota
Description: partial 18S ribosomal RNA
Source: RNAcentral
GGGGGACUGUAGUCACCCCAAUUACGUGCGGUGGCGACAUCGACAGUCUGCGGGAAUCUCUCCACCAGCUGGGGACAACCCGCAGCCGGACCUCUUGCGUCCGGCCCACAGACUAAAUGUUGAUGGGUCCGCGCCCCCAUGCGGAUUUUCGAUAUAGUCGGUCGUCGGGGCAUACACCCCCCUCGAGCAAACGUUCCGUAGGUGAACCUGCGGAAGGAUCAUUA